Xenopus laevis (African clawed frog) is the source of this 340-nucleotide long non-coding RNA. RefSeq lists it as uncharacterized. The transcript has 4 exons. NCBI's taxonomy places the organism in Eukaryota, Metazoa, Chordata, Amphibia, Anura, Pipidae. The record is from RefSeq and is a predicted model, not a curated record.
GCAAAAGCGAGGGAUAGUAGAUAUCUUGAUCCAGACAGCGGAUUGGAGCUGAAGCUUUCUUAUUCUGUAAAGCCCUCACUGAUCUGGUCAUACCGCCAUUAUCCCUACUCUAUUGUGGAACAAGAUCAGAUGAUGAACAGCUAUACAAACACAGACUGCUUUACAACCAAGUUUGGACUGUGCGUGAAUUUAAAGAACGCGGACAAAUUCUUCCCACGUUGCUAUGACCUGGCGGAUAAAAAAGGGAGAAUGUUAUUCACUGAUGACUUCAUGAAAACUGCAGCGUAUAGUAUCAUAAAAUGGGUUGUAAGAAGAAACAGUUCGCCUGUUCAAGCCGAAG